Canis lupus familiaris (dog) is the source of this 1363-nucleotide long non-coding RNA. RefSeq lists it as uncharacterized. The transcript is spliced from 4 exons. Lineage: Eukaryota; Metazoa; Chordata; Mammalia; Carnivora; Canidae. The record is from RefSeq and is a predicted model, not a curated record.
CGCCCCUGGUGACGCCCCGCUGGGCGCCUAGGACUUGCUUAGCGCGAAGAGGCCGGGUCUUGCUGCGGGAGCCUUGGUGGUGGCGCCGGGGUACGAGCAGCCCCGUGGAAUCUGCAAAGUGCUAGUGAUAUUUGGAUGAAGGGAGGAACCAGGAAUGUGUCCAGAAGUGUCUGAGAGCGCCUGCAAGAAAAAACAGCACCAGAGGAGCAAGAGUAACUAGGUAAGAGAAUAGAUGAAGGAGUGGAGCACCCUGGCCAAUUGCACCGUUAAGGAGAGUCCAGCAGGCCUUUCAGCGUGGGCUUAGGAGCUCAAGGGAGCUACUCCAGCUGGAAAGGUGAAGACUGGCAGGAACCAGUGACCAUUUCUUCAUGCGAGACUAACCAGCAGACCUUUAAACUUGUGGAGGAUUUGGACACAGACUCUCCUCUCUGAUUCCUCUUAUCCUGCCUACUUCGGAAGGAACACCCAAUCCUGGGCCAGCAAUUACCUGUUUGCCAGUGGGCGAAACCCACUCAAACCAGUGGGUUUCUCCAGAGGAAUUUAUUAUGUGAACCCAGGGAUCUUACAGAGCCCAAGGCAAUAAUUGCAGCCAUGUAAUAGGAUGUAGAAAUGGGGCCUUUCCCUGCCAGAGCAUAGACAUCAUGUCCCAAAGUGAAUGUGAAGUCAUCUCCCAAGUAGAAGUUACAAAAGCAAAAUGUAGAACCUGUUUUUCUACCUUUGGACGUCUGGGGCAGAUCUGUGAUAUUAAAAUGUGGGCAGAAUGUAGAAAGAGGAGGGGUUUGAUGAAGACAUAUCUUAGGAGAGAACUUUGUCUGCCCUGUUUUCCCACCAUCUCACCCCUGCCCCUAGAAUGACACGGCAGAGAGGGAGAGAGGCAUAGAACACAUCAUUUCAAGCCCAGGAAGGCAGUUCUUCAAUGACAGGGGAGCCUCUCCACACUGAGGCCCGAGGCUGACUUCUCCCUAAUCAAUCCUGAAGAUAAGAGAUGGCUCACCAACUACUUUGACAACUUUUAUCAAGAGCUUUAUAUGUUAGGCAGCCCGGGUGCGUCAGCGGUUUAGCGCCACCUACGGCCCAGGGCGUGAUCCUGGAGACCCCGGAUCAAAUCCCGAAUCCCGGGAUGGAGCCUGCUUUCCCCUCUGCCUCUCUCUCUCUCUCUCUCUCUCUCUCUAUCUAUCUCUCCUGGAUAAAUAAAUAAAAUCUUUAAAAAAAGAAAAAGAACUUCAUAUGCUAGAUACGAUUCUAUGUAUUAACGCAUUUAAUCCUCCCCAUAAGCCUGCAUAGUAAAUGCUAUAUAUUUCAAUAUAUAUAUUGACUCUUUCUUUCACCUACAUGUUGUAAAUAUUUUCCCACAAUAAAUAUU